AGAAUCAACGCUGGCGGCGUGCCUAACACAUGCAAGUCGAACGCGGUUAUCCAGCAAUGGAUGACUGAGUGGCGAACGGGUGAGUAACACGUGGGUGACCUACCUUCGAGUGGGGGAUAACGUCCCGAAAGGGACGCUAAUACCGCAUAACAUCCUGCCUUUGAACAGGCGGAGAUCAAAGCCGGGGAUCGUAAGACCUGGCGUUUGAAGAGGGGCCCGCGUCCGAUUAGCUAGUUGGUGAGGUAACGGCCCACCAAGGCGACGAUCGGUAACCGGCCUGAGAGGGCGGACGGUCACACUGGGACUGAGACACGGCCCAGACUCCUACGGGAGGCAGCAGUGGGGAAUUGUCGCAAUGGGCGCAAGCCUGACGACGCAACGCCGCGUGGAGGAUGAAGGUCUUCGGAUUGUAAACUCUGUUGCCAGGACGAAAGCUUACGACCUAAUACGUCGAAGUCUGACGGUACUGGUGAGGACGCCCGGCUAACUCUGUGCCAGCAGCCGCGGUAUC
Molecule: ribosomal RNA, 511 nt
Filed under: uncultured soil bacterium
Lineage: Bacteria
Description: bacterial SSU rRNA
Rfam family: Bacterial small subunit ribosomal RNA
Source: RNAcentral